GAUCUUGACAUCCAUUGACCAUCUUUUAAUCGAGAUUUUGCCUUCGGGUACGAAUUGAGACAGGUGGUGCAUGGUUGUCGUCAGCUCGUGUCGUGAGAUGUUGGGUUAAGUCCCGCAACGAGCGCAACCCUUGUGUUUAGUUACCAUCAUUAAGUUGGGUACUUUAAAGUAACCGCCGGUGAUAAGCCGGAGGAAGGUGGGGAUGACGUCAAGUCCUCAUGGCCCUUACGCGCUGGGCUACACACGUGCUACAAUGGCAAGUACAGUGGGCAGCAAUCCCGCGAGGGUGAGCUAAUCUCCAAAACUUGUCUCAGUUCGGAUUGUUCUCUGCAACUCGAGAGCAUGAAGGCGGAAUCGCUAGUAAUCGCGGAUCAGCAUGCCGCGGUGAAUACGUUCCCAGGCCUU
Molecule: ribosomal RNA, 405 nt
Filed under: uncultured Sphingomonas sp.
Lineage: Bacteria; Pseudomonadati; Pseudomonadota; Alphaproteobacteria; Sphingomonadales; Sphingomonadaceae
Description: bacterial SSU rRNA
Rfam family: Bacterial small subunit ribosomal RNA
Source: RNAcentral